Molecule: ribosomal RNA, 1220 nt
Filed under: Listeria cossartiae subsp. cossartiae
Lineage: Bacteria; Bacillati; Bacillota; Bacilli; Caryophanales; Listeriaceae
Description: partial 23S ribosomal RNA
Rfam family: Bacterial large subunit ribosomal RNA
Source: RNAcentral
UUGGUUAAGUUAGAAAGGGCGCACGGUGGAUGCCUUGGCACUAGGAGCCGAAGAAGGACGGGACUAACACCGAUAUGCUUUGGGGAGCUGUACGUAAGCGUUGAUCCAGAGAUUUCCGAAUGGGGGAACCCACUAUCUUUAGUCGGAUAGUAUCCUUACGUGAAUACAUAGCGUAAGGAAGGCAGACCCAGGGAACUGAAACAUCUAAGUACCUGGAGGAAGAGAAAGAAAAAUCGAUUUCCUGAGUAGCGGCGAGCGAAACGGAAAGAGCCCAAACCAAGAAGCUUGCUUCUUGGGGUUGUAGGACACUCUAUACGGAGUUACAAAAGAAAGUUAUAAAUGAAGCGGUCUGGAAAGGCCCGCCAAAGACGGUAACAGCCCGGUAGUUGAAAUGGCUUUCCCUCCAGAGUGGAUCCUGAGUACGGCGGAACACGUGAAAUUCCGUCGGAAUCCGGGAGGACCAUCUCCCAAGGCUAAAUACUCCCUAGUGACCGAUAGUGAACCAGUACCGUGAGGGAAAGGUGAAAAGCACCCCGGAAGGGGAGUGAAACAGUUCCUGAAACCGUGUGCCUACAAGUAGUUAGAGCCCGUUAAUGGGUGAUAGCGUGCCUUUUGUAGAAUGAACCGGCGAGUUACGAUUUGUUGCAAGGUUAAGCGGAAAAAGCGGAGCCGUAGCGAAAGCGAGUCUGAAUAGGGCGCAUAAGUAACAGGUCGUAGACCCGAAACCAGGUGAUCUACCCAUGUCCAGGAUGAAGGUAAGGUAAUACUUACUGGAGGUCCGAACCCACGCACGUUGAAAAGUGCGGGGAUGAGGUGUGGGUAGCGGAGAAAUUCCAAUCGAACUUGGAGAUAGCUGGUUCUCUCCGAAAUAGCUUUAGGGCUAGCCUCGAGGUAAAGAGUCAUGGAGGUAGAGCACUGUUUGGACUAGGGGCCCUUCUCGGGUUACCGAAUUCAGAUAAACUCCGAAUGCCAUGUACUUAUACUCGGGAGUCAGACUGCGAGUGAUAAGAUCCGUAGUCGAAAGGGAAACAGCCCAGACCACCAGUUAAGGUCCCAAAAUAUAUGUUAAGUGGAAAAGGAUGUGGGGUUGCUUAGACAACCAGGAUGUUGGCUUAGAAGCAGCCACCAUUGAAAGAGUGCGUAAUAGCUCACUGGUCGAGUGACCCCGCGCCGAAAAUGUACCGGGGCUAAACAUAUUACCGAAACUGUGGAUGAACCUC